RNAcentral lists this ribosomal RNA (429 nucleotides) under uncultured bacterium. RNAcentral describes it as "bacterial SSU rRNA". It matches the Rfam family "Bacterial small subunit ribosomal RNA", at positions 355 to 775 of the family's 1533-position model. The record is from RNAcentral.
UGGGGAAUCUUGGACAAUGGGCGAAAGCCUGAUCCAGCGACGCCGCGUGGGUGAUGAAGGCCUUCGGGUUGUAAAGCCCUGUUGAGGGGAAAGAAAACGUUGGGCGCAAAUAGCUCCCGACCUUGACGGUACCCCUCCAGAAAGCACCGGCUAACUCUGUGCCAGCAGCCGCGGUAAGACAGAGGGUGCAAACGUUGCUCGGAAUUACUGGGUGUAAAGCGCGUGUAGGCGGGCCAACAAGUCAGAUGUGAAAUCCCUGGGCUCAACCCAGGAACUGCAUUUGAAACUGCUGGCCUUGAGUGGUGGAGAGGGAAGCGGAAUUCCUGGUGUAGAGGUGAAAUUCGUAGAUAUCAGGAGGAACACCGGUGGCGAAGGCGACUUCCUGGACACCAACUGACGCUGAGACGCGAAAGCGUGGGGAGCAAACAG